Molecule: RNA transcript, 2394 nt
Organism: Alligator mississippiensis (American alligator)
Lineage: Eukaryota; Metazoa; Chordata; Crocodylia; Alligatoridae
Gene: BZW2
Gene name: basic leucine zipper and W2 domains 2
Exons: 11
Source: RefSeq, a predicted model, not a curated record
GGAGAGUCAAAGGAUAUGGAAGACUGCAGUUCUGUGGAGGCAGCUCAGAGCUGGAAUUGCCUUCUCAGGGUCUGGGAAGGACCACAGAGAAAUUUUAUGAAUAAGAACCAGAAGCCAGUGCUAACAGGCCAGCGAUUCAAAACUAGGAAGAGGGAUGAAAAGGAGAAAUUUGAACCCACAGUCUUCAGGGAUACCAUUGUCCAAGGCCUCAAUGAAGCUGGGAAUGACCUGGAAGCUGCAGCCAAAUUCUUGGAUGCAACAGGCUCGAGGCUAGAUUACCGUCGUUAUGCUGACACACUCUUUGACAUACUGGUAGCUGGCAGCAUGUUGGCCCCUGGAGGGACACGCAUAGAUGACAAUGACAAGAGCAAAAUGACCACCCACUGUGUGUUUUCUGCAGAUGAAGAUCAUGAUGCCAUCCGAAACAAUGCUCAGGUCUUUAAUAAACUCAUCAGGAGAUAUAAAUAUUUGGAGAAGGCAUUUGAAGAGGAAAUCAAAAAGCUGCUGCUGUUCCUUAAAGCCUUUUCUGAAACAGAGCAGACAAAGUUGGCAAUGCUCACUGGGAUCCUGCUAGCCAAUGGAACACUUCCUGCCACUAUUUUAACAAGUCUUUUCACUGACAACAUAGUCAAAGAAGGAAUUGCAGCAUCUUUUGCAGUAAAGCUUUUUAAAGCAUGGAUGGCAGAGAAAGAUGCCAAUUCAGUUACCUCUGCUUUAAGAAAAGCCAACCUAGACAAGAGAUUGCUUGAACUAUUUCCAGCCAACCGGCAGACUGUGGAACACUUUGCCAAGUACUUCACUGAUGCAGGUCUAAAAGAGCUCUCGGACUUCCUCAGAGUCCAGCAGUCACUAGGAACUCGUAAAGAGCUUCAAAAAGAGUUACAAGAACGUCUCUCUCAGGAAUGCCCAAUUAAAGAGGUAGUGCUUUACGUGAAAGAGGAAAUGAAGAGAAAUGAUCUGCCAGAGCCUGCAGUGAUUGGACUCCUGUGGACCUGUAUAAUGAAUGCUGUUGAAUGGAACAAGAAAGAAGAACUGGUUGCUGAACAAGCACUUAAACAUCUAAAGGUGGUGGAGGCCAACUAGAAGAGAAGAUCUUUUCGACUUGCUGCUCACAGACAGGGUUGAAACUGUGAAGGUGAAAAGUAACUUGGAUGACAGUGAACAUGAAAUGAUAGACUUCAAAAUCCUAAGGGGAGGCAGGAAGGAGAGCAGCUGAAUAAAGACCCUGGACUUCAGAGAAGCAGACCCUAGCAUACCACAGGGAACUGAUGAGAAGGAUCUGCUGGCAGGCAAGUAUGCGUGGGUGGGGGGAAUCCAGGAGAACUUAGGAAUUUUAAGGAGGCCUUUUAAGGGUACAGGAGUAAGCUAUCCUAAUGCAGUGGAAGAAUGGGAAGUACAAGAGGCCAGCCUAGCUAGACAGCAAUCUCUUCAAUGAGUUAACUCAAAAAGGAAUCCCACAAAAAGUAGUAACUUGGUCAUUUUACUAGGGAAGAGUAUGAGAGUCUCAUACGGGCAUGCAGGGAGAAAAAUUAGUAAGCCAAGGCACAACUUGAGGUGUACCUGGCAUGGGACAUGAGGCCAAAAAACGGGAUUCCACAAGCAUAUCAACGGUAAGUGGAAGAUCAAAGAAACUGUUGGUCCCUUGAGGAAUGGAGAAGGCAAUCCAGUUACAGAUGAUACAGAAAAGGCUGAGGUAUUUAAUGCCUUUGUACUUUAGCCUUCACAAAUAGGGGCAUCUACCAGAUGACAAGAGCAAUUGGUAGCACAGAUGGGGAAAGAGACAAAGAGCCUAGAGUAGUGGCAGAACAGGUUGGGGAAGCUAGGUAAGCUAGAAGCUUUCUAAGUUAGCAGAGUCAGAUGGGAUGCACCCCAUGGUACCGAAGGAAUUGGCUGAGGUAAUUUCUGAACCAUUGGCUGUCCUUUUUGAGAACUUGUGGAGAUCAGGUGAAGUCCUGGAUGACUGAAAAAGGACAAAUAUAGUGCUUUUUUUUUUUUCCUUAAGAAAGAGAAGGAGGAUCCAAGGAAUUGCAGAUUAGUCAGCCUGACCGUACCUGAAAAGAUCAUGGAGCAGGAAUCCACUGUGAAGUACCUAGAGGUGAACAAGGUGAUCAGGAAAAGCCAGCAUGAAUUCACCAAAAGCAAGUCAUACCCGACCAACCUGAUUUCCUUGUACAAUAAAUGACAGGCUCUGCAGAUGGGGGAGGAGCAGUGAAUGUGAUAUACCUUGUCUUCAGCAAAGCUUUUGGUGCCAUCUCCCACAACUUUCUCGUUAACAAGCUAAUGAAAUACAGUACUUUCUUCUGCUCUCAAUAUGCACCCCUGCUUGCUGUGUUCAGCACUCAAGGCCAAUCAGAACUCAUUCUUCUCCAGAAGGUUCAGGAAUACUGUUAUGAC